Long non-coding RNA from Bactrocera neohumeralis, 1101 nucleotides. RefSeq lists it as uncharacterized. The transcript is spliced from 4 exons. Lineage: Eukaryota; Metazoa; Arthropoda; Insecta; Diptera; Tephritidae. The record is from RefSeq and is a predicted model, not a curated record.
AAAAUAGAAUUCCAAACUAAAUUCUUUACUUCUUGCUUUUUGGGCUUGUCAAAGAUUUUUCGCCUUUAAAUGCAUUUAUGGCUCGAAAGUAAUUGAGCUCGAUUGACUUAUAUGCUUUUUAAAGACUCGGCCGACAAUCGAUUCUCGGGAAACAAAUAAUAUCUUGCUCUUUAUGGAUAACACUGAUUUUGGCAAAGAAUAAAUUUUCAACUUUGUUGGAUUUUAGCCGACUUUCAUCGCAUGGCUUGAGGUGCUCAAUUACCACCAGCGCAUUCAUCGUUGCCACCAAUCUAUUAUAUGGCAGUCCAAUUAAGAUAUGUAUUGCCUACUUUUAAGCGCGAGUUAAUGCAAAAACAUUGCUAAAAUGACGUCAAAUCAUUAUAUUUUGCACGACAAUCGGUGCACAGUACUUUUUAUCGUAAUAAAUUCAAGUUCGGUUUUCUCAUUAGUGUUUUCGCUGGCAGCCGGUCGUGUUGUGUAUAUUAAAUGUGUGUGUAAAGUGUUUGAAAAAUAAGUGCAGUGAAGUUGUGAGGUGAAAUAUAUAAAAUAAGUUUAAUAAAGUGUUAUUUAUAGUGAAAAAAUAUAGAAAAAAAAGUUUAUAGUGGUGAAAAAUAUAGAAAAAAAAUUUAUAGUGGUGAAAAAUGUAAAAAAAAAUGUGUUUUGUGCAUUCGAAAAGUGAAGUGUUUGUGAAAGUGCAAUGAAAAUGGAAGGAGUAAAAGAAGCUGUGAAGCGGAAAACCAGUCAACAUCAAGCAGACGAUACGAUCUUUGUAAAUGGAGCAGGUAAGUCACAAUUACUUAAUGAUAAAUACUUAAUUGGCCAGGAAACAGCUGCGACACCUCGCGUCCAUAUGGCCUGCCUGCGUGGCUGCCUGGAUGUCGAUGCAUCAACUGAUUGACACCGAAGUGCAGUGGAAUGCAACGGAAGGCUGUUAAGCAACGAAGCAUUCAAGCAUAUUUCAAGUGACAGCUGUUGCAUGCUGGCUGAUGAAUGGCAGCGAAGCAAGACUAUAAAUGAUUAGAGGGACAAGGUGAUCGAAUGCUGCCAAGGAAGUGCCGAGAAACAUAAUUGAUUCCGCAAAUGGACGCAUGAGAUCGCUUG